This 450-nucleotide ribosomal RNA is filed under the name uncultured bacterium. RNAcentral's name for it is "bacterial SSU rRNA". It matches the Rfam family "Bacterial small subunit ribosomal RNA", at positions 354 to 796 of the family's 1533-position model. The record is from RNAcentral.
GUGGGGAAUAUUGGACAAUGGGCGCAAGCCUGAUCCAGCAAUGCCGCGUGCAGGAAGAAGGCCUUCGGGUUGUAAACUGCUUUUGUCAGGGAAGAAAUCUUCUGGGCUAAUACCCCGGGAGGAUGACGGUACCUGAAGAAUAAGCACCGGCUAACUACGUGCCAGCAGCCGCGGUAAUACGUAGGGUGCGAGCGUUAAUCGGAAUUACUGGGCGUAAAGCGUGCGCAGGCGGCUUUGCAAGACAGAUGUGAAAUCCCCGGGCUCAACCUGGGAACUGCAUUUGUGACUGCAAGGCUAGAGUACGGCAGAGGGGGAUGGAAUUCCGCGUGUAGCAGUGAAAUGCGUGGAUAUGCGGAGGAACACCGAUGGCGAAGGCAAUCCCCUGGACCUGUACUGACGCUCAUGCACGAAAGCGUGGGGAGCAAACAGGAUUAGAUACCCGUGUAGUCC